AUUGAACGCUGGCGGCAGGCCUAACACAUGCAAGUCGAGCGGAUGAAGGGAGCUUGCUCCUGGAUUCAGCGGCGGACGGGUGAGUAAUGCCUAGGAAUCUGCCUGGUAGUGGGGGAUAACGUCCGGAAACGGGCGCUAAUACCGCAUACGUCCUGAGGGAGAAAGUGGGGGAUCUUCGGACCUCACGCUAUCAGAUGAGCCUAGGUCGGAUUAGCUAGUUGGUGGGGUAAAGGCCUACCAAGGCGACGAUCCGUAACUGGUCUGAGAGGAUGAUCAGUCACACUGGAACUGAGACACGGUCCAGACUCCUACGGGAGGCAGCAGUGGGGAAUAUUGGACAAUGGGCGAAAGCUUGAUCCAGCCAUGCCGCGUGUGUGAUGAAGGUCUUCGGAUUGUAAAGCACUUUAAGUUGGGAGGAAGGGCAGUAAGUUAAUACCUUGCUGUUUUGACGUUACCAACAGAAUAAGCACCGGCUAACUUCGUG
RNAcentral lists this ribosomal RNA (484 nucleotides) under uncultured bacterium. Its description in RNAcentral is "partial 16S ribosomal RNA". It matches the Rfam family "Bacterial small subunit ribosomal RNA", at positions 30 to 507 of the family's 1533-position model. The record is from RNAcentral.